RNAcentral lists this ribosomal RNA (321 nucleotides) under Triticum aestivum (bread wheat). Its description in RNAcentral is "partial small subunit ribosomal RNA". Lineage: Eukaryota; Viridiplantae; Streptophyta; Magnoliopsida; Poales; Poaceae. The record is from RNAcentral.
AUGGACGAGAGCAACAACAACAUCACCAAGAUGCUCGAGCCACUUCUCUCCAAGGUGGACGAGCAUAAGGCCAAACACGACAAGCAGAUUGAGAUGCAGGCCGCCUUCAACGCGCAGAUCACGCAGGAGGUUCGCUGGCUCGCCAAGCAGAUCGAUCUGACCCAGGCGGACGUCGACGCGAUGCGCAAGACGGUCGAAGGCUCGACAUCUCCCGCAGGCUCGGUCACCACCCCAGUUCACCAGGCCGUGACGCAGCAACAACCACCGCCACGCCCAGCCCCAGAUCCGGGCCGCCCGUCUUCCUCCCACACGCCUAGGUGA